Molecule: long non-coding RNA, 920 nt
Filed under: Lathyrus oleraceus (garden pea)
Lineage: Eukaryota; Viridiplantae; Streptophyta; Magnoliopsida; Fabales; Fabaceae
Description: Pisum sativum (pea) long non-coding RNA (PSAT_LNC037801)
Source: RNAcentral
ACCAUGUUUCCUAAGAAUUUGUGUGACAGUUAGAACCAAAUCAGUUGCUGUAACACCAUUGCGCAAUUUUCCAGACAACUUGAACCCAACAACACCAGGUAACACCAUACUCAUUGGCUGGCCAAGCAUUGCUGCCUUACAGUAACUGGUAUUGCAGCGGCUGCUCUAGUUUCAUUUGCUUGUUGCCUCAAAUCCUGUCUGAUUUUCACAUAAUUAUUUUGCAGUAACUUUGCUGCAGUGACAAGGGUUGAACGUGCUUACAGGUCGGACGUUACAACUCUAUUGUGCAGGCUGAUGCAAGUUAGUGUAGGAUGCUUACAAGGCAAUGUUAAGUGUUUUCCGCUCCUGAAUUCCUUUGCUGCUGUUAUGCCUUGAUAUUAUUUUGCGACACCCGGUCAUGAGGUCUCUUUGGUCCCGAGAUACAUGGUUCGACUUCGUCAAGAUUUAAUUCAAGAUAGGAAGAAUAAGCUCUGUCUUGUUGAGGCUCAUUAUAGUCGACAAACAAUUUGUUUGCUCUGAGAUAGGCCUCUAUCAUUGCCACAGUCUCGUCACUUCUUCCAGUUAGUUUGAGGUAUUGUAAUGUUACAUGAUCUACCGGGAAGAAACCCAUGGUUGCUCCAUAUUCAGGAGACAUAUUGGCAAUAGUGGCCCUGUCAGCUAAUGAUAAUUCACCCAUACCAUUGCCAUGAAAUUCAACAAAUUUCCCUACAACACCAUGUUUCCUAAGAAUUUGUGUGACAGUUAGAACCAAAUCAGUUGCUGUAACACCAUUGCGCAAUUUUCCAGACAACUUGAACCCAACAACACCAGGUAACACCAUACUCAUUGGCUAGCCAAGCAUUGCUGCCUUACAGUAACUGGUAUUGCAGCGGCUGCUCUAGUUUCAUUUGCUUGUUGCCUCAAAUCCUGUCUGAUUUUCA